Molecule: ribosomal RNA, 253 nt
Filed under: uncultured bacterium
Lineage: Bacteria
Description: partial 16S ribosomal RNA
Rfam family: Bacterial small subunit ribosomal RNA
Source: RNAcentral
GACGAACCGUGCGAACGUUGUUCGGAUUCAUUGGGCUUAAAGGGCGCGUAGGCGACCGCUCAAGUCGGGGGUGAAAUCUUUCAGCUCAACUGGAAAAUAGCCUCCGAUACUGGGCGGCUGGAGGGAGAUAGGGGUGCGCGGAACUUCCGGUGGAGCGGUGAAAUGCGUAGAUAUCGGAAGGAACGCCGGUGGCGAAAGCGGCGCACUGGAUCUCAUCUGACGCUGAGGCGCGAAAGCCAGGGGAGCAAACGGG